UGGGAAAAUUACAGAGUGCUAACAUAUCCCAUCGGAACUCUGAAGUUAAGCGCACUUAGGCUAUAGUAGUACUGGGAUGGGUGACCUCCCGGGAAGUCAUAGUGUUUCUCCCUC
Picea glauca (white spruce) is the source of this 114-nucleotide non-coding RNA. The record is from Rfam. Lineage: Eukaryota; Viridiplantae; Streptophyta; Pinopsida; Pinales; Pinaceae.